RNAcentral lists this ribosomal RNA (429 nucleotides) under uncultured bacterium. Its description in RNAcentral is "bacterial SSU rRNA". It matches the Rfam family "Bacterial small subunit ribosomal RNA", at positions 355 to 776 of the family's 1533-position model. The record is from RNAcentral.
UAGGGAAUCUUGGACAAUGGGCGCAAGCCUGAUCCAGCCAUGCCGCGUGGGCGAGGAAGGUCUUCGGAUCGUAAAGCCCUUUUCUUGGGGAAGAACCGCCUUUUGAGGAAAUGCUUAAGGUCUGACGGUACCCAAGGAAUAAGCAACGGCUAACUCCGUGCCAGCAGCCGCGGUAAUACGGAGGUUGCAAGCGUUGUUCGGAAUGACUGGGCGUAAAGGGAGCGCAGGCGGCUUGUUAAGUCUGGAGUGAAAGCCCGGGGCUCAACCCCGGCGGGUCUUCGGAUACUGGCAAGCUUGAGUAUGGAAGAGGAGAGCGGAAUUCCAGGUGUAGCGGUGAAAUGCGUAGAUAUCUGGAGGAACACCGGUGGCGAAAGCGGCUCUCUGGUCCAAUACUGACGCUCAUGCUCGAAAGCGUGGGGAGCAAACGGG